GACGGAGUCUAGCUCUGUCACUCAGGCUCGAGUGCAGUGUUGCGAUCUCAGCUCACUGCAACCUCUGCCUCCCAGUUCAAGAGAUUCUCCUGCCUCAGCCUCCUGAGUAGCUGGGAUUACAGGCAUAUGCCACCACGCCUGGCUAAUUUUGUAUAUUUAGUAGAGACGGGGUUUCACCAUGUUGGUCAGGCUGGUCUCGAUCUCCCAACCUCAGGUGAUCCACCCACCUCGACCUCCCAAAGUGCUGGGAUUACAGGCGUGAGCCACUGCACCCUGGCCCCGAGCCACACGUUUUAUAGGCUAUCUCAAAAUUGCCAUUAUUAGGGUCUGCUUUUAGUAUGGAGGGUAAUUUCAUCUGUGACCCAGUGGUCAUUUAUGUUGUGUGAUUUUUACAUUUUUUUUAGGUGUGAGGUUUUUUUUGCCUUAUUAUUAUUAUUUUUCUUUUUUGAGAUGGGGUUUCGCUCUUGUUGCCCAGGCUGGAAUGCAAUGGCGCAAUCUCGGCUCACUGAUGCCUCUGCCCCCCGGCUUCAAGCAAUUCUCCCUCAGGCUCCUGAGUAGCUGGGAUUACAGGUGCCCGCCACCAUGGCCUGGCUAAUUUUUUGUAUUUUUAGUAGAGACAUGGUUUCACCAUGUUGCCCAGGCUGGUCUCGAACUCCUGGUCUUAGGUGAUCCACCCACCUCAGCCUCCCAAAGGGCUGGGAUUACAGGUGUGAGCCACUGUGCCCAGCCUAGGUGUGAGUUUUCUUAAGGGUGUUUUGUACUGUCUCUAUGUG
RNAcentral lists this long non-coding RNA (773 nucleotides) under Homo sapiens (human). RNAcentral's name for it is "HSALNT0296518". The record is from RNAcentral. Lineage: Eukaryota; Metazoa; Chordata; Mammalia; Primates; Hominidae.